This 310-nucleotide ribosomal RNA is filed under the name uncultured bacterium. Its description in RNAcentral is "partial 16S ribosomal RNA". It matches the Rfam family "Bacterial small subunit ribosomal RNA", at positions 503 to 809 of the family's 1533-position model. The record is from RNAcentral.
AAGAGACAGCAGUAGCCGCGGUAACACGGAGGGAGCUAGCGUUAUUCGGAAUUACUGGGCGUAAAGCGCACGUAGGCGGCUUUGUAAGUAAGAGGUGAAAGCCCGGAGCUCAACUCCGGAACUGCCUUUUAGACUGCAUCGCUUGAAUCCAGGAGAGGUGAGUGGAAUUCCGAGUGUAGAGGUGAAAUUCGUAGAUAUUCGGAAGAACACCAGUGGCGAAGGCGGCUCACUGGACUGGUAUUGACGCUGAGGUGCGAAAGCGUGGGGAGCAAACAGGAUUAGAUACCCGCGUAGUCCCUGUCUCUUAUAA